Molecule: unclassified non-coding RNA, 320 nt
Filed under: Hevea brasiliensis (rubber tree)
Lineage: Eukaryota; Viridiplantae; Streptophyta; Magnoliopsida; Malpighiales; Euphorbiaceae
Source: RNAcentral
AUGUGUUGACCACCCAUAUAACUGUGAAUACACAACUAUUGCUCUUUAUCCACCCAUAAUUAAAAGAAAUUGUUAAAAUAUAGAUUAAUUAAGGAUAUCAUCCCAAUUCCCACGAUGGUAUGCUCAUGCAUCUACCAAGUUGAGGAACUUCACAAGUAAGAAACUUUUCCAAGAAUCAUUCGAGGAGUCUCCCAAAAAUCGAGAGGUGCCAGCAGCACCUGUUUAGAUUCUGUAUGGAAGAGAUUCUACUAGUAUGGAAGGAAGAAAAAAAAAAUUGAUUCAAAGAAAAAGUAGAGAUAAACACACCCCCACAAUCUUGA